RNAcentral lists this ribosomal RNA (495 nucleotides) under uncultured bacterium. Its description in RNAcentral is "partial 16S ribosomal RNA". It matches the Rfam family "Bacterial small subunit ribosomal RNA", at positions 28 to 507 of the family's 1533-position model. The record is from RNAcentral.
GACGAACGCUGGCGGCGUGCCUAAUACAUGCAAGUAGAACGCUGAAGGAGGAGCUUGCUCUUCUGGAUGAGUUGCGAACGGGUGAGUAACGCGUAGGUAACCUGCCUGGUAGCGGGGGAUAACUAUUGGAAACGAUAGCUAAUACCGCAUAACAGUAGAUGUUGCAUGACAUUUGCUUAAAAGGUGCAAUUGCAUCACUAUCAGAUGGACCUGCGUUGUAUUAGCUAGUUGGUGGGGUAACGGCUCACCAAGGCGACGAUACAUAGCCGACCUGAGAGGGUGAUCGGCCACACUGGGACUGAGACACGGCCCAGACUCCUACGGGAGGCAGCAGUAGGGAAUCUUCGGCAAUGGACGGAAGUCUGACCGAGCAACGCCGCGUGAGUGAAGAAGGUUUUCGGAUCGUAAAGCUCUGUUGUAAGAGAAGAACGAGUGUGAGAGUGGAAAGUUCACACUGUGACGGUAUCUUACCAGAAAGGGACGGCUAACUACGUG